RNAcentral lists this ribosomal RNA (251 nucleotides) under uncultured prokaryote. RNAcentral's name for it is "partial 16S rRNA". It matches the Rfam family "Bacterial small subunit ribosomal RNA", at positions 525 to 775 of the family's 1533-position model. The record is from RNAcentral.
ACAGAGGAGGCAAGCGUUGUUCGGAAUCACUGGGCUUAAAGCGGGUGUAGGCGGCUUGGUAAGUGUCGUGUGAAAUCCGACGGCUCAACCGUCGAACUGCACGGCAAACUGCCUGGCUUGAGGUCGGUAGAGGUGCCUGGAACUCUAGGUGGAGCGGUGAAAUGCGUAGAUAUCUAGAGGAACGCCGGAGGCGAAAGCGGGGCACUGGGCCGAUUCUGACGCUGAGACCCGAAAGCGUGGGGAGCAAACAG